Molecule: unclassified non-coding RNA, 436 nt
Filed under: uncultured Tomentella
Lineage: Eukaryota; Fungi; Basidiomycota; Agaricomycetes; Thelephorales; Thelephoraceae
Description: sequence contains ITS2
Rfam family: 5.8S ribosomal RNA (bases 1-155)
Source: RNAcentral
AACUUUUAACAAUGGAUCUCUUGGCUCUCGCAUCGAUGAAGAACGCAGCGAAAUGCGAUAAGUAAUGUGAAUUGCAGAAUUCAGGGAAUCAUCGAAUCUUUGAACGCACCUUGCGCCCUUUGGCUAUUCUGAAGGGCAUGCCUGUUUGAGUAUCAUGAACACCUCAACUCUCAUGGUCCGCCAUGAUGAGCUUGGACUUUGGGGGUCUUGCCGGCCUAGUGUCGGCUCCUCUCAAAUGGAUCAGCUUGCCAGUGUUUGGUGGCGUCACAGGUGUGAUAACUAUCUACGCUUGUGGUUUUCUGCCAUAUAACCUUCAGUGAUGGAGGUUCUCUGGAGCUCACAGAUGUCUCUCCUUGGGGAGGACAGCUUUUGAACGUUUGAUCUCAAAUCAGGUAGGACUACCCGCUGAACUUAAGCAUAUCAAUAAGCGGAGGCU